This 306-nucleotide ribosomal RNA is filed under the name Triticum aestivum (bread wheat). RNAcentral describes it as "partial small subunit ribosomal RNA". The record is from RNAcentral. Lineage: Eukaryota; Viridiplantae; Streptophyta; Magnoliopsida; Poales; Poaceae.
AUGUCAGCUGGAGGAAAGGAGAUCUUACUUAAAGCGGUUGUUCAAGCUAUUCCCACCUAUGCAAUGUCGGUCUUUAAAAUUCCAAAAAAAAUUGCAAAGGAAUUAUUGACGCGAUGGCGCAUUUCUGGUGGGGAGAUGAGGACAACCAAAGGAGGAUGCAUUGGAUGGCUUGGUGGAAAAUGUGUGUACCCAAGAACCAAGGGGGAAUGGGUUUUCGGGAUAUCCAUUGUUUCAAUUUGGCUAUGCUUGCUAAACAGGCUUGGCGUCUUAUCGAGAAUCCGGAUUCUCUAUGUGCUAUUAUUUUGA